UGGGGAAUAUUGGACAAUGGGCGGAAGCCUGAUCCAGCCAUGCCGCGUGUGUGAAGAAGGCCUUUUGGUUGUAAAGCACUUUAAGCGAGGAGGAGGCUACUUGGAUUAAUACUCUAGGAUAGUGGACGUUACUCGCAGAAUAAGCACCGGCUAACUCUGUGCCAGCAGCCGCGGUAAUACAGAGGGUGCGAGCGUCAAUCGGAUUUACUGGGCGUAAAGCGUGCGUAGGCGGCUUCUUAAGUCGGAUGUGAAAUCCCUGAGCUUAACUUAAGAAUUGCAUUUGAUACUGGGAAGCUAGAGUAUGGGAGAGGAUGGUAGAAUGCCAGGUGUAGCGGUGAAAUGCGUAGAGAUCUGGAGGAAUACCGAUGGCGAAGGCAGCCAUCUGGCCUAAUACUGACGCUGAGGUACGAAAGCAUGGGGAGCAAACAGG
Molecule: ribosomal RNA, 430 nt
Filed under: bacterium
Lineage: Bacteria
Description: partial 16S ribosomal RNA
Rfam family: Bacterial small subunit ribosomal RNA
Source: RNAcentral